This 25-nucleotide non-coding RNA is filed under the name Cricetulus griseus (Chinese hamster). The record is from RNAcentral. Lineage: Eukaryota; Metazoa; Chordata; Mammalia; Rodentia; Cricetidae.
CAGUGGAUCAGCUGUGGGAAAGGCU